This is a non-coding RNA of Rattus norvegicus (Norway rat), 69 nucleotides long. NCBI's taxonomy places the organism in Eukaryota, Metazoa, Chordata, Mammalia, Rodentia, Muridae. The record is from Rfam.
GGGGACUUAGCUCAGUGGUAGAGCGCUUGCCUAGCAAGCACAAGGCCCUGGGUUCGAUCCCCAGCUCCG